This is a long non-coding RNA of Culex quinquefasciatus (southern house mosquito), 739 nucleotides long. RefSeq lists it as uncharacterized. Lineage: Eukaryota; Metazoa; Arthropoda; Insecta; Diptera; Culicidae. The transcript has 4 exons. The record is from RefSeq and is a predicted model, not a curated record.
AGACACGCAAGAGCAGAGAAGACAACACUCGCCUGCGAGAAAAACCAUCGUCGCACAAACGUCAAGAAACGCAAUCAGCAAACGCAGCCUCGACUACGACUUCCGCAAUUGAGGGAGAGAGAGCAAAAGGAAAAAUUCUCGCCUCGGUGCGGACGCGUCGUUCUCGUCUGCUGCAAAAGUGCCUUUUUGCUCGUUCCACGUGGUCGCGAUUGGUGGGCCGGUCCGAGAAGGCGGAGAAAAGUGCGGUGAACGAAGUGUUCGGAACUGGGGCGCGCGCGUGGCCGUCGAAAAGUCGCGAGUGCAAAAAACGGUCAAAGCUAUUGGCUGGCGGAACAACGGCCUGCACGUGAAAUCGCACCGGCUGAUCGAGGGUUCGACGUCCCCGGAGGGAUUUCCAACACGCCAAGAACGACCCAGAUCCGGCAUUCUCGACCGGCACGCCCCCGCGACCAUCGGCGGUACCGAACCGCUCAGAGGACGGCCCAGCGGCCAAGCAACAGCGAGCACCACGCCUCUUUGGCACGCAAUCCCCCAACGCCGGUGUGAGACAAUCGCACGCACACACACACGGCGCAACAAACCCAAGAUCGACUCCGUGCAUACCGGCCUCGCACCACUCAUCCCGCAAUCCGACUGGCGGUCCGACAAGAACUGGAGGACAACUUGGAAGAAGCACACGAAAAGGGGGACGCAAAGUAAGUGUGCGAUCGAGAAAAGUGGGUGAUUCAGAUCUAAUUUU